Molecule: ribosomal RNA, 489 nt
Filed under: Triticum aestivum (bread wheat)
Lineage: Eukaryota; Viridiplantae; Streptophyta; Magnoliopsida; Poales; Poaceae
Description: partial small subunit ribosomal RNA
Source: RNAcentral
AUGAAGGCAAUGCAACAGUGUUGGUUAUCUAUUUGGCUAGUCAAACAUGAGGUGGUUCAUAGAUCUUUGGGCUUUGAUCAUCGAGGAAUAGAGACUUUACAAAUAAAAGCACGGGAUUGGGAUUCCAUUGCUGUCAUUUUAUGUGUAUAUGGUUACAAUUAUUUACGCUCCCAAUGUGCUUAUGAUAUAGCACCCGGUCGAUCUUUAGCUAGCGUCUAUCAUCUUACGAGAAUACAAUAUGGUAUAUAUAAUCCAGAAGAAGUCUGCAUAAAAGUCUUUGCCCAAAAGGAUAAUCCUAGAAUUCCGUCUAUCUUCUGGAUUUGGAGAAGUGCCGAUUUUCAAGAACGCGAAUCUUAUGAUAUGGUGGGAAUCUCUUAUGUUAAUCAUCCACGCCUUAAACGUAUCCUAAUGCCUGAAAGUUGGAUAGGCUGGCCCUUACAUAAGGAUUAUAUAACCCCCAAUUUUUAUGAAAUACAAGAUGCUCAUUGA